This 776-nucleotide long non-coding RNA is filed under the name Nicotiana benthamiana. Its description in RNAcentral is "long non-coding RNA (NBEN_LNC029966)". Lineage: Eukaryota; Viridiplantae; Streptophyta; Magnoliopsida; Solanales; Solanaceae. The record is from RNAcentral.
AAAAGAAAAGUCAAAACUACUUCGGGAGAGAAGUUAAUUGCUUCUUAAAUUGGCCAAACUUGCAUGGAUUGGCUUAGUAAUAUGCGGAGUAUGGUUACCAUUUUUAGGCUUAUUCUACAAAAUGGACAAGGGAUUUAUUUAGUGCUUCUGAGCUUCAAGUGAGCAUUGUUAGACAAGUGCUCAUUUUCUACAUUCGUAGUGUUUAUUCAAGUAACAUUUUGGCUAUUCUUUGUUUCAUUCACUGGUCAGUAUUCCAAAAAGAGUUUAAGUUACACACCGUCAGCGUAAUGAUUUUUUAUACUACCAGGUCAUCCAAAGGAUAUUGGUAAGCCUCCUUAAAAUGUGGUAUAAUCUUGUAAAUAUGAUAAGCUACCUGCGACAACAGAUAAAGGUGACUUGAUAGUGUAUAAUACACUGACGGUGUAUAACUUAAACUCAUUCCAAAAUUGAAUUCGUCCUAAUAGUUUCUUGCAUAUGGAUGUCCACUCUGCAUUUGUCGUAACAUUCACCAAUUAUGUAUUUUCAUAUGAAGGCAACAAGUAUAUUGCAUAAUAUAUGUUCAGCUGAACUUAUUACUCCACCUCACAAUUGAACUCUAACCUAAAGUUACUAAUUCUUUAGUGGAUGUAUAUUUUUAAAAAAAAAAUGAAUAAAUAGAUCACAUGAGUGCCUAUAAAUACUUGAUCAAAAAGAAAAAGAAAACAUAUUACGUAAAUGUGAAAAACAAGUCCGUUGUCGGUAACUAGUAAUGAAACCUUCUUAAGUAUGUAAUUUUU